GAAAACAACAGAAACAUCUUUUCCUAUAAAUUUCCAAGAUCCAACAAAUAAAUAACAAAAAAAAUUAUAUAAUUACAGUAAUGAAAUCAUGGGAAAUAUAUUCAAAAGAUGAGCAUGACUUCUACAAACAAAGGACAAAAAAACAACUUACAAAGAAAAAGAAAUUCAAACCAGAUAUGAUUUUUUCCCCUUCUUUUGUUGUCUUUGAUUUUGUUCUUGGAUGUAAAAGUACACUGAAGAAGAUGAAGUCCCACAAUGUUUUCGGUAGGAUGGAGGAGAAGACAACAACACCAAACACAUAUUUUGGUCACGGUCACAGUGUUUACCGGCACGGUGGCCGCCGACGAAGGUGUUCUGAUCUUAAAUUUUCUUUGUGGGUAUUGUAAAGGAGAUGAAGGAGAUUAUUUAUAUGGUGGUGAUAUUUCAAAAGAUUUUCUAUGGAGGUCAAGAUCUAGGUGAGAAAGUGAUAAUUAAGAUUUAAAAAAAAAAUUGUGCAAAGGUGAAGAAAUGGAACAUGUUGGUCGUGAGAAGAAGAAGAGGAGAUGUUGAUGAAGGAGAGUUUAUGAUAUUGAAGGAAGAUGUUGGAAGAAAAAAAAAGAAAAAAAAAAGGGAAGGAAUGGAGCGGCUGNNN
Molecule: long non-coding RNA, 631 nt
Filed under: Trifolium pratense (red clover)
Lineage: Eukaryota; Viridiplantae; Streptophyta; Magnoliopsida; Fabales; Fabaceae
Description: long non-coding RNA (TPRA_LNC007386)
Source: RNAcentral